GCUCCCGCGAGGCCGGUCUCUUGUGCCAACCAAAAGAAACAAAAUGGCCGACGGUCGCGAGGAAGUCAUUCUGGCGUUUGUGCCCAGCCGACCAAUCAGAAGCCUUAAAGGUGACCCAUCACAUUGAAGUUAUGUCACAGCCAGUCCACCACCUUCCAACGGCCACCCCACCUCACAAAUGGUGAUGUCCAUUUCUGAACAUAGUGGUGCCCGCCUGACCUAAAUGGAACCGUAUUGGCUCCUCUUCCAUUUUUGUCUGCCCCAAUAUUUAAACCUAAAGCACUUUGUGGGCAUUGAACAAUCUCGUUUUGGUUGGGGUGAACUUUAGGCACAUGCCUGGACAUGCCUGACAAACUGAACAUGGGGUAAUGUACUGUUGGGUCAUGGAUACGAGUGGAUACUCAACCACAGCUGCCUCUGUGGGCCUAAUCCCCAGACCGUCUUUGGAUACACCAAUCAGAGGAGAAGUUGAAAUGGACUACUGUGCACUAGUGUGUCUCUAUCCUCCUACAACUAACUGACUGGAUACAUGGGCAGAAAUGGAGGGUGUGAGAUGUGUGUGUUCUGUGUUGUGAUGGUACACUGUCUUCUCUGAGACGGCUCUACACACAGCUGUGUCUGUCACAUCUGCAAUACAUUCGACACGGGUCAGCAUGCUGAUCUGUUCAUGUGUGCUGUGCUUGUCUGUGUAUGUGUGCUGGUUUGUCUAAGUACAUACACUUUGAGUCACCCUCACUCAGCGCAAGGUCUGUUCUUCUGUAACACACACACACACAUGCACGCGCACGCACGCACGCACGCACACACACACACACACACACAAAUCACAUCACAAAUCAUAGUAAAUGUAUUUGAACCUCCUUAUGGUUAACGGACAUAGGAUUUAUCAUGUGCUUUAUGCUAUCUGGCAAAAAUAACAUUUGACACUGGAGGAGAUUGUAUGGUUUAGUAGUAGAAUCGCACAGCACCACUGAUUUUAUUAUCAAGGGGAGGUUACAACUGGCAAAUAAGAAUCUUUUAUUGGACAUCGCACAUAGUAUUCAGAUGAUGUAUGUAUAGAUAGAACACGUACAAUGAAUUCAAGUAGAAACAUAGAAAUGUGCUAAUUGAGUGAUUUAAACAAUUGUGGUAUAAAAAUCAGAGUAGGACGAUUACUUAUGUGUUAUAGGGAUAUGAAUACUAGUUUAGUGCGAAAAUGUGUUUUAUUUUGUGUAUAUUAUUUCUAUGCAUCUUUUGAAACCUAUGCAAAUGAAUCCACAAAGUAGAUAUUUUAUCAUUUGCUAAUGACGAUCAUUCAAAUUCUCAGAGGGUUUAGAUUUUUCCCCAGACAAUCUGUUAUAUACUGUAGGGGGAUGUGAGAGACUAGAAAUUAACCCUGGUCCAGACAGUAAAAUAUGUUGGGAUUUUACAGCGUUUUUCUCAACUGAUUUGGAUUUUUAUAGAUUUUUUACAAGUGUAUCAAUAUCAAAAUAUGAACAUUGGAAUGUUUUAAUUUGCAUGACCGUACGGGGACAUCUAUAGAUCUUCAACGAAUGGAUUGACUAGAAAGUUACAUAUACAGGUUUCCAAACAAUUAUUUGGGGAUUUCAUGUGAACAUUUUUACUCUUACUCUAUGCAACUUUUAUAUUUGAACUUUUUUUGGUAAUAAAUAAUAUGACUAUCAUUCGGA
Molecule: long non-coding RNA, 1670 nt
Organism: Oncorhynchus masou masou (cherry salmon)
Lineage: Eukaryota; Metazoa; Chordata; Actinopteri; Salmoniformes; Salmonidae
Exons: 2
Source: RefSeq, a predicted model, not a curated record